This is a long non-coding RNA of Falco peregrinus (peregrine falcon), 356 nucleotides long. RefSeq lists it as uncharacterized. NCBI's taxonomy places the organism in Eukaryota, Metazoa, Chordata, Aves, Falconiformes, Falconidae. The transcript has 3 exons. The record is from RefSeq and is a predicted model, not a curated record.
GCUUAUGCUAGAGAGAAAAAGGAAAAGCCACCCUUUUUACCAGAGGAGCCCUCCUCCUCCUCCGCAGACAGGCCUGUUCCAAACGAGUUGUUAUGUCCCAUUUGUAAAGAUCCAGUGACGGAUGCAGCGCUUAUUCCAUGCUGUGGAGCAAGUUAUUGUGAUGAAUGUAUUAGAACAGCUUUACUGGAAUCGGAGGAACAUACUUGCCCGGCGUGUCAUCAGACAGGUGUUUCUCCUGACGCUUUAGUUGCCAACAACUUCCUGCGCCAGGGCUCCAUAAGGAGAUUCAGCAGCAGCAGCAGCAACAGCCGCCGUCACUGCCUGCACGACCACUUGUGACUGUGACACCUGCUGCU